CACGGGGGGAACUAGCGUUGUUCGGAUUUACUGGGCGUAAAGGGUGCGUAGGCGGGUUGGCAAGUCGGGUGUGAAAUUCCAGGGCUUAACCCUGGGUCUGCAUUCGAAACUGCCGGUCUUGAGUACUGGAGAGGUGAGUGGAAUUCUCGGUGUAGCGGUGAAAUGCGUAGAUAUCGAGAGGAACACCGUUGGCGAAGGCGGCUCACUGGACAGAUACUGACGCUGAGGCACGAAGGUCGGGGGAGCAAACAGG
This 253-nucleotide ribosomal RNA is filed under the name uncultured bacterium. RNAcentral describes it as "partial 16S ribosomal RNA". It matches the Rfam family "Bacterial small subunit ribosomal RNA", at positions 524 to 776 of the family's 1533-position model. The record is from RNAcentral.